RNAcentral lists this transfer RNA (83 nucleotides) under Stakelama sediminis. RNAcentral's name for it is "tRNA-OTHER". The record is from RNAcentral. Lineage: Bacteria; Pseudomonadati; Pseudomonadota; Alphaproteobacteria; Sphingomonadales; Sphingomonadaceae.
GUGCCCUGUCGUGCAUUUAGGAUAGACAGGCUAAAUUGCUCCGAAGGCAGAGGCCACAGGUUCGAAUCCUGUCGGGUGCGCCA